RNAcentral lists this ribosomal RNA (1327 nucleotides) under Tachinomyia nigricans. Its description in RNAcentral is "eukaryotic LSU rRNA". It matches the Rfam family "Eukaryotic large subunit ribosomal RNA", at positions 110 to 1237 of the family's 3401-position model. Lineage: Eukaryota; Metazoa; Arthropoda; Insecta; Diptera; Tachinidae. The record is from RNAcentral.
CGCACUAGUCACUUUGUCUCUAUGGCAAAUGUGAGAUGCAGUGUAUGGAGUGUCGAAUAUCUAGUAUGAGAAAUUAACGAUUUAAGUCCUUCUUAAAUGAGGCCAUUUACCCAUAGAGGGUGCCAGGCCCGUAUAACGUUAAUGAUUACUAGACGGCAUUUCCAAAGAGUCGUGUUGCUUGAUAGUGCAGCACUAAGUGGGUGGUAAACUCCAUCUAAAACUAAAUAUAACCAUGAGACCGAUAGUAAACAAGUACCGUGAGGGAAAGUUGAAAAGAACUCUGAAUAGAGAGUUAAAUAGUACGUGAAACUGCUUAGAGGUUAAGCCCGAUGAACCUGAAUAUCCAUUAUAGAAAAUUCAUCAUUAUGAUUUUAAUAUUUAACCAAUAUUAUAAUAAUGGUGUGCAUUUUUUCUAUAUAAGGACAUUGUAAUCUAUUAACAUUUAAUAAAUAUUUAUCAAAAGAUCAUUUGCAAAGGUUUAUUCAAAUUAUUUUGCUUGCAAUUUAACAUAGAUUAAAUGCUUAUGAUUUGAUAAAGUGUUGAUAGAUUUAUAAUAUAUAGUGCUUGAAUAUUUAUAUUCUAUAAUAGCAUAUUAAUUAUUAAUUUUUAUGUUUAUUAUAUGCACUUAUAUGAUUAACAAUGCGAAAGAUUCAGGAUACCUUCGGGACCCGUCUUGAAACACGGACCAAGGAGUCUAACAUAUUUGCAAGUUAUUGGGAAUUAAAACCUAAUAGCGAAAUUAACAUAACUAUUAUAUAAUGGGAUUAGUUUUUAGCCUAUAUUUAUAGUCUAUUAAUUCAAUCCCGGGGCGUUCUAUACGGUUAUGUAUAAUAGUAUUUAUAUUAUUUAUACCUCUAACCAGAGCGUACCUUGAGCAUAUAUGCUGUGACCCGAAAGAUGGUGAACUAUACUUGAUCAGGUUGAAGUCAGGGGAAACCCUGAUGGAAGACCGAAACAGUUCUGACGUGCAAAUCGAUUGUCAGAAUUGAGUAUAGGGGCGAAAGACCAAUCGAACCAUCUAGUAGCUGGUUCCCUCCGAAGUUUCCCUCAGGAUAGCUGGUGCAUUUAAAAAUUAUGUAAAAUAAUCUUAUCUGGUAAAGCGAAUGAUUAGAGGCCUUAGGGUCGAAACGAUCUUAACCUAUUCUCAAACUUUAAAUGGGUAAGAACCUCACCUUUCUUGGUAUGAAGGUCGUGGUUGUGAUAUAAUGUGCCCAGUGGGCCACUUUUGGUAAGCAGAACUGGCGCUGUGGGAUGAACCAAACGUAAUGUUACGGUGCCCAAAUUAACAACUCAUACAGAUACCAUGAAAGGCGUUGGUUGCUUAAAA